Molecule: ribosomal RNA, 428 nt
Filed under: uncultured archaeon
Lineage: Archaea
Description: bacterial SSU rRNA
Rfam family: Archaeal small subunit ribosomal RNA
Source: RNAcentral
UACCAGCUCUCCGAGUGGUAGGGAUGUUUAUUGGGCUUAAAGCGUCCGUAGCCGGCUUAGCAAGUCUCCUGUUAAAUUCAGCGACCUAAUCGUUGAGCCGCGGGAGAUACUAUUAGGCUAGGAGGCGGGAGAGGUCAACGGUACUUCCGGGGUAGGGGUGAAAUCCUAUAAUCCCGGUAGGACCACCAGUGGCGAAGGCUGUUGACUAGAACGCGCUCGACGGUGAGGGACAAAGCUGGGGGAGCGAACCGGAUUAGAUACCCGGGUAGUCCCAGCUGUAAACGAUGCGAGCUAGGUGUUGGGGUGGCUACGUGCCACUUCAGUGCCGCAGGGAAGCCAUUAAGCUCGCCGCCUGGGGAGUACGGCCGCAAGGCUGAAACUUAAAGGAAUUGGCGGGGGAGCACCACAAGGCGUGAAGCUUGCGGUUC